UCCAUAAACAUUCAAUACACACAUUCAAAAUGCAAUGCAUUUACCUUGACCAUGAUUCACACUUAAUUUUUUCUUCCCAUAUUGAACAAUAUCACAUUUGGGUUUAAGUUAACAAUCCAAUUCAACUUUUGAUAUCCAAUGUUCAUUGUAACUUUCAUUUCAUAAUCCAUACAUAUUUAAUCUCAUUUAUAAUACAAAUGUCCUAUACUAAUAUCAAUUAUAAUUUCUACAAUUUGAUCAAACAAAUCCUCAAACCAAAAUCCGAUUCCAAUUAACUCUCGCUAACUAACCCAUAUCUCACCUUCACUCAUUUCUGACCUGCAAAGCUAAUCCAGUAAUAAUAACUUCGUAAAUCGAUUCCAUAUAGGCCAUGUUGACAGCAACACGAUCAUUUUCGAAGCUCUUGCUUAACACUUGGUUUCGAUCACUCGUCCACUUGCAUGAUACAUUCACUUUGAAACCUGCAAAUUGACACCACAAGGCAUAAACAAGCAGCAGCAACAAAAGAAGUUUUAGUUUGAACUGCAACUCAUAACCGUCCAAAUCGACCACAUCAUGCGCCAAUUGCUGCAAGUGGAAACCAGACAACCCAAUUGCAGCAUUCACGAUCCAUCAACAAUGCAACAACAGCAAAGAGUAUGUCAAUAAGUGCCCAUAACAUAAAUUUCAAUGUGACAAAAUUUCAUUUAAUUAAAUCACGAUCUAAUUAACUAACAUUCUAACUCGAAUUAUCCUAACAACCAACAGGGCAAAAUGUCACCAUUUUUCAUUUUAACAAAACUUCAUCUUAACUGAAUCUAAAACUAACCAUAACUAACUUUAAGGUUAACAUAGGUGAUAACUAACUCUUUAAGAGCAUAAUAGAUAUCUACAAACAGUAAUGCUUUUUUUCAGUUAACAGGAAUUUCGAAGAAAUUAACCUAACAGAAUAAUAGUAGUGCAUAGUCAUUAAUAGAAUUCUCAUUAACAGGACCAUUGAUUAAUAUGCUCCAAUUAACAACACAAACAAACUCCACAAUUGGUAACCGAAUUCACAAACGCCAAAUCUACCAUCCUACAAAGCCAAGCAAUAAUUUUCAGCACGCAAUAGCUAACAUGGCCAUACAAUAACGAGAGAUCAAAACUCACAUUCAUACUAACAAUAUACAUUGCAUCCUUACCAUACUUGGAGUUGGACUUACACAUGAUGCGAAUGGAAACAAACUCUACAAACUGAUGACAUAAUAGUCGUUGAUGAUAUGUAGGUUGGUGAGUGUCAAGAUGCAAUCAAACGAUUUGUGCUUGGCAUUUCCGCAAUCAAACGAGCGGCUGAAACAGCCAGGAACCAUAAUGCAACUGGUGUUGUUUUCUAUAUCGACUUUCAGCUUAACCCAAUUACUAUGUAAACACCCGGCAAAAUCUCAGAGAAAAACCUGUUUAGUCAAUCAACUUCAAGUCAUUACUGACAUAACAAUGGCAGAAUUGGCAGUGUGAGUAAUGGUGUAAAACAAAUUGAUUUCACUAACAGAAAAUCACACAUAAAAUCAUCCCAACAACUAACAUGGCUGCCCGAAUAUUCAUUUUAGUAAUUUAACACAACUAAGCAAGGAGUUAACAGUAGAACUUGGGGUCUCAUAAGACAGUUCAUUGGAAAUCUUCAUGUCAUUUGAUUUUCCAUUUAACUAAUUCACUCAACACUAACUAAUUAAUUCUUACUGGAAGUAUAGAGUGCAGGGCAAACGCAAAUGAAUUCAGGACAAAUUCUAACAGAAUUGGUAACCUCUAACAGAAUUUUCUAACAGUAACUAACUUAACUCAGUUAAUAUAACAGAACCUGAUAACUUCCAACUGAAAUUCAUCUUCAUUUCUAACUAAAUUCCACAUUUCAAGGUAAUUUAACUUGCAUAUCAUAACAAAAUUGAGAAGAGAGGUUAUAUAAGUAGAUCUUCACUCACCUUACGAUGCAAAAAAGCUCGAAUCUCAUUUCCUCUUCACUUUCUAUUCACUUUUCGAUCAUUCUUUUUCAUCUCCACGCUCCAAACAGAACCUUCAAUCUUCUUCUCUGCUUCACCUUCAUCCUUCCUCAUCGGUCUGCAAUUGAGAAGGCUCUCUCUGCUUCACCUUCAUUGUCAUCACGAGUCUUCUUCAACUGCUUCUUCAUUCUUCUGCAGCAGCGCCUUCAUCACUGUUUCUGCAACAGAGGUGAAUCGCCAUCAGAAUCGAUUAACAACCACCAGUUCAUAAUGAAUCACACGAAGGGAUAAGAAGGUAAGGACAUCUGAAUCGGUGAGAAGCGGAAGUCGUACCUGUUCGCAAAUCGCAUCGGUCUGGUGAGUUUUUGUUUUCGAUUCCGUAUCUCCUUGGCUUCAUAGGCCCAACUACGGUUUGGGCAUCCUCUUACCCCUUACGGCGGGCUUACACCCCUACCCGAGGGAGGCCC
RNAcentral lists this long non-coding RNA (2419 nucleotides) under Lathyrus oleraceus (garden pea). RNAcentral describes it as "Pisum sativum (pea) long non-coding RNA (PSAT_LNC008655)". The record is from RNAcentral. Lineage: Eukaryota; Viridiplantae; Streptophyta; Magnoliopsida; Fabales; Fabaceae.